AAAAGAACCUCUUCCAGGCAGAUAUCAAAACUGGACUCCUGCACAGAAGGCUCAGCUUAAAGGUGGCAGAGGAGGUGUCAUUGGUGAACAGUAUAGAUGGCGCGACGCUACCAUUCCCUACACUAUCGACCAAACGCUGGGUGGCAACCACUGCGUGGACGAAGAUUCGACUGCCCUGG
Long non-coding RNA from Priapulus caudatus, 179 nucleotides. RefSeq lists it as uncharacterized. Lineage: Eukaryota; Metazoa; Priapulida; Priapulimorpha; Priapulimorphida; Priapulidae. The transcript is spliced from 3 exons. The record is from RefSeq and is a predicted model, not a curated record.